AACGAACGCUGGCGGCAUGCCUAACACAUGCAAGUCGAACGAGACCUUCGGGUCUAGUGGCGCACGGGUGUGUAACGCGUGGGAACCUGCCCUUAGGUUCGGAAUAACUCCCCGAAAGGGGUGCUAAUACCGGAUAAUGUCUUCGGACCAAAGAUUUAUCGCCUUUGGAUGGGCCCGCGUUGGAUUAGCUAGUUGGUAGGGUAAAAGCCUACCAAGGCGACGAUCCAUAGCUGGUCUGAGAGGAUGAUCAGCCACACUGGGACUGAGACACGGCCCAGACUCCUACGGGAGGCAGCAGUGGGGAAUAGUGGACAAUGGGCGAAAGCCUGAUCCAGCAAUGCCGCGUGAGUGAUGAAGGCCUUAGGGUUGUAAAGCUCUUUUACCCGGGAUGAUAAUGACAGUACCGGGAGAAUAAGCUCCGGCUAACUCCGUG
This 433-nucleotide ribosomal RNA is filed under the name uncultured bacterium. RNAcentral's name for it is "partial 16S ribosomal RNA". It matches the Rfam family "Bacterial small subunit ribosomal RNA", at positions 29 to 507 of the family's 1533-position model. The record is from RNAcentral.